RNAcentral lists this ribosomal RNA (1425 nucleotides) under Campylobacter upsaliensis. RNAcentral's name for it is "partial 23S ribosomal RNA". It matches the Rfam family "Bacterial large subunit ribosomal RNA", at positions 1507 to 2925 of the family's 2925-position model. Lineage: Bacteria; Pseudomonadati; Campylobacterota; Epsilonproteobacteria; Campylobacterales; Campylobacteraceae. The record is from RNAcentral.
CUAGUCUAAGGUCGUAGGAGGUUAUACAGGCAAAUCCGUAUAACAAUACUCCGAGAACUGAAAGGCUUUUUGAAGUCUUCGGAUGGAAAGAAGAACCCCUGAUGCCGUCGAGCCAAGAAAAGUUUCUAAGUUUAGCUAAUGUUGCCCGUACCGUAAACCGACACAGGUGGGUGGGAUGAGUAUUCUAAGGCGCGUGGAAGAACUCUCUUUAAGGAACUCUGCAAAAUAGCACCGUAUCUUCGGUAUAAGGUGUGCCUCCCUUUGUAUUAGAAUUCACUUCGAAAGCAAAGAAGGUUACAACAAAGAGUCCCUCCCGACUGUUUACCAAAAACACAGCACUCUGCUAACUCGUAAGAGGAUGUAUAGGGUGUGACGCCUGCCCGGUGCUCGAAGGUUAAUUGAUGGGGUUAGCAUUAGCGAAGCUCUUGAUCGAAGCCCGAGUAAACGGCGGCCGUAACUAUAACGGUCCUAAGGUAGCGAAAUUCCUUGUCGGUUAAAUACCGACCUGCAUGAAUGGCGUAACGAGAUGGGAGCUGUCUCAAAGAGGGAUCCAGUGAAAUUGUAGUGGAGGUGAAAAUUCCUCCUACCCGCGGCAAGACGGAAAGACCCCGUGGACCUUUACUACAGCUUGACACUGCUAUUUGGAUAAGAAUGUGCAGGAUAGGUGGGAGGCUUUGAGUAUAUGACGCCAGUUGUAUAUGAGCCAUUGUUGAGAUACCACUCUUUCUUAUUUGGGUAGCUAACCAGCUUGAGUUAUCCUCAAGUGGGACAAUGUCUGGUGGGUAGUUUGACUGGGGCGGUCGCCUCCCAAAUAAUAACGGAGGCUUACAAAGGUUGGCUCAUAGCGGUUGGAAAUCGCUAGUAGAGUAUAAAGGUAUAAGCCAGCUUAACUGCAAGACAUACAAGUCAAGCAGAGACGAAAGUCGGUCUUAGUGAUCCGGUGGUUCUGUGUGGAAGGGCCAUCGCUCAAAGGAUAAAAGGUACCCCGGGGAUAACAGGCUGAUCUCCCCCAAGAGCUCACAUCGACGGGGAGGUUUGGCACCUCGAUGUCGGCUCAUCGCAUCCUGGGGCUGGAGCAGGUCCCAAGGGUAUGGCUGUUCGCCAUUUAAAGCGGUACGCGAGCUGGGUUCAGAACGUCGUGAGACAGUUCGGUCCCUAUCUGCCGUGGGCGUAAGAAGAUUGAAGAGAUUUGACCCUAGUACGAGAGGACCGGGUUGAACAAACCACUGGUGUAGCUGUUGUUCUGCCAAGAGCAUCGCAGCGUAGCUAAGUUUGGAAAGGAUAAACGCUGAAAGCAUCUAAGCGUGAAGCCAACUCUAAGAUGAAUCUUCUCUAAGCUCUCUAGAAGACUACUAGUUUGAUAGGCUGGGUGUGUAAUGGAUGAAAGUCCUUUAGCUGACCAGUACUAAUAGAGCGUUUGGCUUA